AGAGGGAGAUGGGCCUGGCUGCUGGGAGCUAGACAAGAUUCAGUGUAUGCAGAGCAAUAGCACCACCACGUUUGCAGAUCUCCCACCAGAACUGUUCCCCCAGCGAGGUCUCCAUCUUGCCAAUCCCUUCGAACGUCCCUUUCACCUUAUGGAUGAACCAGACCUACAAAUGAUACGAGGCGCAAAUUACUGGGACAGGAGAAGAGACAGCUGUGGCAGCCACAUCAGAAGAUGAGACGUUGGUGAUGUCAAGAGGAUCAGGCCCUCAUCCUGUGGUGGACUAAGCACACCAGGGAACCUUAAUGGGCAAGGAUGUUCCAAGUGGCAAACAGCCACCAAUCAUCAGGAUUAAUAGUCAACACACAGAGCGAAGCUUUGGGAAUAAUACUGCAGAAACAGUCCUGUAGGCACAGAAGCAAACAGAAUCAAAUCAGUAUUCCGUGUGGCCAAAUCUUCACUGUAUUACCUUAGUGGGAAUUUGGAUAGUAUUACCCAGAAUGCUCCCUGCUGCAACUUUGCCUUGAAAAACAAUCCGUUUCUGCGCUCAGCAUUAAGUGACUGCAUUAUUAGGAUUUAACUUUGAACUUCAACAUUUGGAAUCCAUUAUUUAAUCAUUAAUUUCCUCCAGUUUCCCCCAACUAGCUUUACUGCUUCAUGUUAGAUCUCUGGGCACUGUGGUCCCAGCCACACGUCUAUCCAACAGUUUGUGCUUCAGCAGUUCAGUGUUCCAUCAAUCUUUCCUACAGCAAAAGCCUCUGUUUAUAUUAACCACUGAGCCAACGGUGUGCCCCGGCUUGAGAGUGCAAAAAUAGAUAAUUCUCUCCCCCCUGUAGGCCUCUCCCAUAGAUCAUUCUGAGUUUGGUCUGUUAGAACCCCUUCAAGGGAAAAGUGACACCGUGAAAAUGACCUCGUGGGGCUCCAGUGUUUGGUGUUGGAUUCCUUCAGUUUAUGAAUCAAGAGCUGAUUUUUUUUUCCUGACUGCCAUCAUGGUGGAAACCAGCCGGGGAUCUGAAAGUCAAGCUGUGUUCUUUCUGGUGCUUUCAACCAUCACGAUUCUGCAGUCAGACCUUCGUUGACAAUUUAGCUGGUGGUGUCUGAGGCAAAAUAAAUUGUUUUCCCAUCUCUGUUUUGAUUCUGCAGCACUAAGACGACUGAAAAAUUUUUCCCUUUUCAAUAAACGAAGCAGAUGCGGCGCAAAGACAUACAGGGAGCAGUGUUGUGUCAGAAGAUGUCAUUUUCACAUGGCUGCUUUUCUGAUCACACCCAUUUCUCCUAGGGCCAGAUUUUUAUACCCUUGGUAACAUAAGAAUCUUACUCCACGAGUGGUCCCAUUGAAGUCAAUGGAUGAGAACCUCAGCUGGUGCACGCUGGGAUAGCUCCACUGAAGUUAGUGUGCUCACAUCCUAGGAGGGUGGGUGGCAGUUUAAAACCUUAAGGUAGAUAAGAGCUAUGCACCAACUCAGGAUCUGCAACAAUGAGGCCACUCGUGGAUUAAGGAGUUUCUUAAUGUGAGCAAGGGUGUCAGCGUCUGGCCUUAAAAGAACAGAACUAAAGGGCACAAGAGAACAAACCAACUGCAAGAGAACUGCCAUGCGCAGGUACAGAAUGCUUAAGAAGGGCUGCGUGUGCACCAGAGUGAAGUACGAAUGGCAAUUCAGUGCUGGUUGCCAAGUAACUGUACUCAAGGCGUGAACUGGGUUGUAUGUGUGCUUUGCAUUUAGAAUAGAAAUCUAUAAUAAUGAUCCCUUACACUGGAUACAGGUGAUUGGGAUGAAAGGCACCAUAUAAUGUGAGUUGUUGUUGUUGUUAUUAUCACCAAAGGAUGCCAAAGGGCUUUACAAGCUAUCGGUGCAGGAGUGGCUGGAGAGCAUGGUACACAACUGAGGAAGACAGAGUGGAGAUGAAUCUGCUACCUGACUCAAAAGGCAGGGUGAAUGUCAACUAGAUGGCUGUGCUUGAAUUUGACCAGGCCCACUGUUCUUGCAAGAAGUGCCAUGGGAAGGUCAAGGAUCACAAGAGGUUGGAAUUUUGAUUUAAAUCACAUCCCAAAAGACCUAUUAGUCACAUGGGUCACUUAAUCUCUUGUUUAAAAGUUCCAGCAAUGAUACAUGGAAAUAGAGCCAUGUUGCAUAUUUUAGCUUUGUUCUCUCCUUUCAGAGGCAUUGGCAGCUUGUGUUUCCUGUGUAAGCCCAAGCAAAUAGUUCAUGGGCUUGUGUUCAGAGUGGAAGCCAGAGACUCACGGGAUCUCAGUUCUUUCCUUGGCUCUGCCGUAGACCUGCUGUGUAGCCUCGGGCAGUUAUUUUCUCUCUAUGUACCUUCUGUAAGAUGAGGAUCAUGAUCCUUCCCCCACAUAGGUAUUGUGAGACGAGGAGGCAAAGAAUGGUUCAUUUCUUUUCCUCGUUGUUAUCCAGUGGCUAAGACGCUGGAGUCUGGAGAACUCUCAGAGGGAAUGUCAGGGCCUGGGGUUUCUUCGGUGGUCAUAAAGACAGAGAGAUGAGUGGUUCCUUUGAGAGAGCGAACAUGGGGGUAAGAAGCUCUUGUGCUGAGCUCACAGCAGCACCGAAGGACACCUGUCAUCCAUCACAAAAUCCUUCUGAACCUGGGUUAUCCUUGUGUGUCUCCCAGGCAGAACAGGCCCAACCUUGCCUACAGUAGCUGUAAGAUCUGCUCCGAGUGUGGCCUGAAAUGCUACAGCAACAACCGGGUGUGAUCUGAUUAACUGUGGAUAGCAUUUGAGAACAAACCAUGCACAUCCAUGGGCAAAGCUCAAGUGGUAGGAAGUAGAGGCUAAAUAUUACCACUCAGGGAAAUGGUGUAGCGGUAACAGGAGAAACCUAGGACGUUAUUGAACCUAGAAGUGUUAGCCCAUUGAAGGUAAGCUUCAAAUGACCUUACAGAGUUCAUAUAAAGGGUUGUGAACAAGGGUUUGAUAUACUGCUGGCACUAGGAAAACUGUGCAGUUGAAUUUAAAUCAUGUUUAGAUUAAUGAAGGCUGAGCAUCAAAAAUAUUUUCAUUUGAGCUUUACAGGACAAUUAAGAACAGUUUAAGCUUUCAAUUCUAGUGGCUCCCACUCAGGUCUGUGGUUAACCAAUUGCUAAAGAUAUAUUCCUAUUCACUUCUGCUGGGAAUGCCAUCUCUGUUUAGUUGUAGAAUUAGACCUUCCUCUAAACAGCCCCCUUAUCUUACAAUCUGCAAAUUGCAGGCUCUCCCACAAAAGGAAAUCUUUUAUUAAGCAUUUUAUUUUUCUUUGCUGCAGGCAGGCAGACUAAAUAAACUCCAGCUUCGACUUUGCACUAGGUCUCUGCAUUGGCCAUAUCCAAGAAACACAGACAAUGCUGGUUUGCAAAAAUGAAAGAAUUUUAAUAAAAACAAGCCAUUCAAAACCCUUGUCAACUCCUUCUGCUGGAUUGUUAUAAAGAAUUUAUUU
This is a long non-coding RNA of Mauremys reevesii (Reeves's turtle), 3428 nucleotides long. RefSeq lists it as uncharacterized. The record is from RefSeq and is a predicted model, not a curated record. The transcript has 3 exons. Lineage: Eukaryota; Metazoa; Chordata; Testudines; Geoemydidae.